GAGAGCGGGAGCUGCGGGGGCAGGACCCGAACCCGCCGCAGCCCCGGCUCGCGUUCUGCUCCACACCGAGACUCCCGAGAAUUCCCGGGAAGGCGGCGAGGGCAGGAGAGCAUCCCCAGCUCCCCCUGCCCUCCCCGCAGUGCCCGGAGGAGCAGAACAUCCCCGUUCCCCCUUGCCGGGGAGCCCAGAGCGAUGCUUUAUCGCGCCGCUGCGAGAGCCAGACGGAAAGGUUGCGGCAAAGAGUCACUUCCAUGAAGAAACAUCUCCAUGGAGAAGGGAAAUUCAAGCAUCAUUCGCUGGAGGACUCAAGCACCAUUCUCCAAGGGGAGGAGCACAAAUGCCCUCAAAAGUGGUUAAAUAUAAACCAGUGAUUAAAUAAUAUUAGCAUAUUAGCUAUUCCUUCAUGUGGGGACUCCACAUCCCCAAGUGAUGCUCUCCUCCUAAAACUGUCAAAUCCCUCAUAGUCUCUGCCUGAUUCUGUGGGGAUGCUGCUAUUUACACAGGAGCAGAGUAACCUCCAUCCCUGUGGGAUGUGCUCCAAUAGCUGCACACUGUCCAGCAGGAUGGAAAAAUGUGUUUCAGUCUCUUUCUGCAGCAAACCCACAAUUGAGCUCCACUCAGUAAUAUUUUAGCAAGCCACCUUCAGCCUGGAAUCCAGAUAGCCACAGGCCAGUUUGGGCCAGUUCCAGGCUCAUGGGGGACCUGGACACUGGGGCAGUGUCUGAGCCAGCCCCAAACAUCCACCCAGCAAUCCUGGAAUUCUCUCUCAGCUCUGACACUGACCCAAAGUGCUGGUCACCAGCUGAGACCCAGUGCACCUGUUACUGAAUAAAAUUUGCAUACUUUGGGAUCA
RNAcentral lists this long non-coding RNA (853 nucleotides) under Zonotrichia albicollis (white-throated sparrow). RNAcentral's name for it is "lncRNA (ENSZALG00000018205.1)". The record is from RNAcentral. Lineage: Eukaryota; Metazoa; Chordata; Aves; Passeriformes; Passerellidae.